UACGGAGGGUGCAAGCGUUAUCCGGAUUCACUGGGUUUAAAGGGUGCGUAGGUGGGUUGGUAAGUCAGUGGUGAAAUCUCCGGGCUUAACCUGGAAACUGCCAUUGAUACUAUCAAUCUUGAAUACCUUGGAGGUGAGCGGAAUAUGUCAUGUAGCGGUGAAAUGCUUAGAUAUGACAUAGAACACCAAUUGCGAAGGCAGCUCACUACACGGUCAUUGACACUGAGGCACGAAAGCGUGGGGAGCGAACAGGA
This 254-nucleotide ribosomal RNA is filed under the name uncultured bacterium. Its description in RNAcentral is "partial 16S ribosomal RNA". It matches the Rfam family "Bacterial small subunit ribosomal RNA", at positions 524 to 777 of the family's 1533-position model. The record is from RNAcentral.